GCCAGAGUGGUGUAGUGGUUUGAGCACUGGACUACAACCCUGGAGACCAGGGUUUGAUUCCCUGCUCAGCUA
This is a non-coding RNA of Phrynosoma platyrhinos (Desert horned lizard), 72 nucleotides long. NCBI's taxonomy places the organism in Eukaryota, Metazoa, Chordata, Lepidosauria, Squamata, Phrynosomatidae. The record is from the annotation of a GenBank genome assembly.